Molecule: ribosomal RNA, 426 nt
Filed under: uncultured prokaryote
Description: bacterial SSU rRNA
Rfam family: Bacterial small subunit ribosomal RNA
Source: RNAcentral
UGGGGAAUUUUCCGCAAUGGGGGCAACCCUGACGGAGCAACGCCGCGUGGGGGAGGAAUGUCUGUGGAUUGUAAACCCCUUUUCUCUGGGAAGAAGGACUGACGGUACCAGAGGAAUCAGCAUCGGCUAACUCCGUGCCAGCAGCCGCGGUAAUACGGAGGAUGCAAGCGUUAUUCGGAAUUAUUGGGCGUAAAGCGUCCGCAGGUGGUGCCUCAAGUCUGCUGUCAAAGACCGAAGCUCAACUUCGGGCAGGCAGUGGAAACUGAAGCACUAGAGUACGGUAGGGGUAGAGGGAAUUUCCAGUGUAGCGGUGAAAUGCGUAGAGAUUGGAAAGAACACCAGUGGCGAAGGCGCUCUACUGGACCGUAACUGACACUCAGGGACGAAAGCUAGGGGAGCGAAAGGGAUUAGAUACCCCCGUAGUCC